CGAGCGAUCAUAAGGGAGCUGAUUGCAAAUCUGCCGUCAUCGACUUCAAGGUUCGACUCGAGCAAUAGUGAGAGAACGUUGCCGCAGGCAACGGCCCGAAGGGUGAGGAGCUUUAGCUCCGAAUAAUCCUUCCCGCUAUAG
This 141-nucleotide small RNA is filed under the name Salmonella enterica subsp. enterica serovar Oranienburg. RNAcentral describes it as "RtT sRNA". It matches the Rfam family "RtT RNA". From Rfam's summary of the family: This family represents a bacterial cis-regulatory element known as RtT RNA. The exact function of RtT is unknown although it is thought that it may be involved in changing the cellular response in relation to amino acid starvation. RNAcentral also lists the same sequence under 6 other names. The record is from RNAcentral. Lineage: Bacteria; Pseudomonadati; Pseudomonadota; Gammaproteobacteria; Enterobacterales; Enterobacteriaceae.